AGAGUUUGAUCAUGGCUCAGGGUAAACGCUGGCGGCGUGCUUUAAGCAUGCAAGUGGAACGAUUCGUCUUCGGAUGGAGAGUCGCGAACGGCUGAGUAACAGGUAGGAACUUGCCUCUUGGUGGGGAAUACCUCAGAGAAAUCUGGGUUAAUACCGCAUGUGAUCCACGGAUCAAAGGGCGUAACUGCUCGCCAAGAGAGAGGCCUGCAACCUAUCAGCUUGUUGGUGUGGUAAUGGCGCACCAAGGCUACGACGGGUAGGGGACAUGAGAGUGUGUACCCCCAGAAUGGCACUGAGACACGGGCCAUACACCUACGGGUGGCAGCAACUAGGAAUUGUGCGCAAUGGGCGAAAGCCUGACGCCGCGACGCCGCGUGGAGGAUGACGGCCUUCGGGUUGUAAACUCCUUUUAUUUUGAGAGAGAUCUCAUUUUGAAUAAGCACCCGCUAACUUCGUGCCAGCAGCUGCGGUAAUACGGAGGGUGCAAGCGUUGCCCGGAUUUAUUGGGCGUAAAGUGUUCGUAGGCGGUUUAGUAAGUCACAUUUCAAAGACCAGAGCUCAACUUUGGGACGGGAUGUGAUACUGCUAAACUUGAGACACUCAGGGGCUACUGGAACUGUCGGUGUAGGGGU
RNAcentral lists this ribosomal RNA (632 nucleotides) under uncultured bacterium. RNAcentral's name for it is "bacterial SSU rRNA". It matches the Rfam family "Bacterial small subunit ribosomal RNA", at positions 8 to 682 of the family's 1533-position model. The record is from RNAcentral.